CCCCUUCUCUAUUUCUGAACAGGCGUGUUCCAGACAGCUCACUCGACACCUUAGAUUACUAUGGGUUCGGUAGGGUCCUGAGCCUCAGAGAAGCAGGAAAGCAUAGCCCAAGAAGGGCCUGAACUCAGAAGAAGAAGCAAGAUCUGCUGGGAUUUUUUUCUUUGGUCUUGGUUGUGCGAAGGAGGAAAAAAAGGUUGUGAGGCCCGGUCGAACGCAAGGCAUUGCGAAGGCCCCCUCAGGCGGCGCCGAGGGCAGCCCGGCAGCCGGGGCCUGGUGCAGCCGCCGCGGCCGCUGUCAGGGAAGCGCAGGCGGCCAAUGGAACCCGGGAGCGGACGCUGCUGCUGAGGCGGCGGUGUCGGCAGUCCGACCCCGACCGCCCGCACCCCCUCCGCGGGGGUCCCCCGGAGCUUGGAAGCUCGAAGUCUGGCUGUGGCCAUGGGAGACACGGUAGUGGAGCCUGUCCUCCUGAAGCCAACUUCUGAGCCCAUUCCUGGCCCACCAGGGAAUAAUGGGGGCUCCUUGUUAAGCGUCAUCACGGAGGGGGUCGGGGAACUAUCGGUGAUUGACCCUGAGGUGGCCCAGAAGGCCUGCCAGGAGGUGCUGGAGAAAGUCAAGCUUUUGCAUGGAGGCACGGCUGUUUGUGGCAAAGGCACCCCACUGGAGUUGGUCAAUGGGGAUGGUGUGGACAGUGAGAUCCGUUGCCUGGACGAUCCACCCACCCAGAUAAGGGAGGAGGAAGAUGAGAUGGGGGCCGCAGUGGCCUCCGGCACAGCCAAGGGAACAAGAAGGCGGCGGCAGAACAACUCAGCCAAACAGUCUUGGCUGCUGAGGCUGUUUGAGUCAAAACUGUUUGACAUCUCCAUGGCCAUUUCAUACCUGUAUAACUCCAAGGAGCCUGGGGUGCAAGCCUACAUCGGCAACCGGCUCUUCUGCUUUCGUAAUGAGGACGUGGACUUCUACCUGCCACAGUUGCUUAACAUGUAUAUCCACAUGGAUGAGGACGUGGGUGAUGCCAUCAAGCCCUACAUCGUCCACCGUUGCCGCCAGAGCAUUAACUUUUCCCUCCAGUGUGCCCUGUUGCUUGGGGCCUACUCUUCAGACAUGCACAUUUCCACUCAGCGACACUCCCGUGGGACCAAGCUACGGAAGCUGAUCCUCUCGGAUGAGCUGAAGCCAGCUCACCGAAAGAGGGAGCUGCCCUCCUUGAGCCCAGCCCCCGACACAGGGCUGUCUCCCUCUAAAAGGACUCACCAGCGCUCUAAGUCAGAUGCCACCGCCAGCAUAAGUCUCAGCAGCAACCUGAAACGAACAGCCAGCAACCCUAAAGUGGAGAACGAGGACGAGCCCGUCAGACUGGCUCCUGAGCGGGAAUUCAUCAAGUCCCUGAUGGCGAUUGGCAAGCGGCUGGCCACGCUCCCCACCAAGGAGCAGAAAACCCAGCGACUGAUCUCAGAGCUCUCCCUGCUCAACCAUAAGCUCCCUGCCCGUGUCUGGCUGCCCACUGCUGGCUUUGACCACCACGUGGUCCGCGUGCCCCACACCCAGGCUGUUGUCCUCAACUCUAAGGACAAGGCUCCCUACCUGAUCUAUGUGGAAGUCCUCGAAUGUGAAAACUUCGACACCACCAAUGUCCCCGCCCGGAUCCCCGAGAACCGAAUUCGGAGCACCCGGUCUGUAGAGAAUCUGCCCGAGUGCGGCAUCACCCACGAGCAGCGGGCAGGCAGCUUCAGCACGGUGCCCAACUAUGACAACGAUGACGAGGCCUGGUCCGUGGAUGACAUAGGCGAGCUGCAGGUGGAGCUCCCUGAAAUGCACACCAACAGCUGUGACAACAUCUCCCAGUUCUCCGUGGACAGCAUCACCAGCCAAGAGAGCAAGGAGCCUGUGUUCAUUGCAGCAGGUGACAUCCGACGGCGCCUUUCGGAGCAGCUGGCUCACACCCCCACAGCCUUCAGACGAGACCCAGAAGACCCUUCUGCAGUGGCCCUCAAAGAGCCCUGGCAGGAGAAAGUGCGGCGCAUCAGAGAGGGCUCCCCCUAUGGCCAUCUCCCCAAUUGGCGGCUCCUGUCAGUCAUUGUCAAGUGUGGGGAUGAUCUUCGACAGGAGUUGCUGGCCUUCCAGGUGUUGAAGCAACUGCAGUCCAUUUGGGAACAGGAGCGAGUACCCCUGUGGAUCAAGCCAUACAAGAUUCUUGUGAUUUCGGCUGACAGUGGCAUGAUUGAACCAGUGGUCAACGCUGUGUCCAUCCACCAGGUGAAGAAACAGUCACAGCUCUCCUUGCUCGAUUACUUCCUGCAGGAGCAUGGCAGUUACACCACUGAGGCUUUCCUCAGUGCCCAGCGCAAUUUUGUGCAAAGCUGUGCUGGCUACUGCUUGGUCUGCUACCUGCUGCAAGUCAAGGACAGCUUUGGGUUCGAGGAGGUUGGACCCACCAUUAUAGACACCAAGCCAGGGGUGUCGCUGCUGCCAUGGGGCCAGCGUGUUGCAGCUUGAAGUUCCUUCCUCCCUCGGACUUACUCCUGCCUCUUCUCCUCUGCCGCCUCCUCAGGCACAAUGGCAACAUCCUGUUGGACGCGGAAGGCCACAUCAUCCACAUCGACUUUGGCUUCAUCCUGUCCAGCUCACCUCGAAACUUAGGCUUUGAGACAUCAGCCUUUAAACUCACCACAGAGUUUGUGGAUGUGAUGGGCGGCCUGGAUGGCGACAUGUUCAACUACUACAAGAUGCUGAUGCUGCAGGGGCUGAUUGCUGCUCGGAAACACAUGGAUAAGGUGGUGCAGAUCGUGGAGAUCAUGCAGCAAGGUUCUCAGCUUCCUUGCUUCCAUGGCUCCAGCACCAUCCGCAACCUCAAGGAGAGGUUCCACAUGAGCAUGACGGAGGAGCAGCUGCAGCUGCUGGUGGAGCAGAUGGUGGACGGCAGCAUGCGGUCGAUCACCACCAAACUCUACGACGGCUUCCAGUACCUCACCAACGGCAUCAUGUGACACCCUCCUUCUCUGGCCCCAGAGCAGUGGGGGAGUCAGGGGACCCUCCCUGGGAAGGCCCUUGGAGAAACCCUAAACCAGGACGCCCCACCCACCCACCCAUCCACCGAGGGAAAUGGAAGGCAAGAAGUAUGAAGGAUCAUGUGGUAACUGUGGAGGGUGCCAGGGGAUGGGAGAGCCAGCUGUGGGGGGUCCAGGCGUGCCGGGGCUUCCUGGCACCCCCGCCCCUGCCUGUGUCAGUAUUAUCACCUGACAGACUCCAGGACUCGCUGCCCUCCAGAGAACAGAAGUGAUAAGUGUGAGGACACUGGGGCCUUCUUCUCACCAGGGUCCGAGAGGUUCUUCCCACAGCCAUCCUCUUAAUCUGUUCUGGGUCCCAGGAAGCGGCGAAGAGUAGGUUCUUGGUACUUAGGACUUGAUCCUGUGGUUGGCCUUUGGCCAUGCUGCUGCCCGACUGUCCCUGCCCGGGGACUGGCCCUGGCCCGAGUUCCCCUUGGUAGGUGGGCUCUGGCAUAGGGUCCUGCACUUGCUGAGGAAGGGAAUUAUCACAGCCCCUCCAGUCUGAGGGUACUGGCCCAGCCGCGGGGGAAUUCCUUGCCCUGAUCCCUUCCCCACACCCAGGGAAAUAGCUCUCAAUUUUUUAUUUUUAAUUUUUGUUUGAAAUAAAGUCCUUAGUUAGCCAUCU
This is an RNA transcript of Sus scrofa (pig), 3669 nucleotides long. It is a transcript of the gene named phosphatidylinositol 4-kinase beta, with no coding region annotated. Lineage: Eukaryota; Metazoa; Chordata; Mammalia; Artiodactyla; Suidae. The record is from RefSeq and is a predicted model, not a curated record.